UACGUAGGGUGCAAGCGUUAUUCGGAAUCACUGGGCAUAAAGGGCGCGUAGGCGGCUCCAAAAGUCAGGGGUGAAAUCCGGCAGCUUAACUGUCGCAGUGCCUUUGAUACUGUGGAGCUAGAGGGAGGUAGGGGUCUGUGGAACUUCCGGUGGAGCGGUGAAAUGCGUUGAUAUCGGAAGGAACGCCGGUGGCGAAAGCGACGGACUGGAUCUCUUCUGACGCUGAGGCGCGAAAGCCAGGGGAGCAAACGGG
This 253-nucleotide ribosomal RNA is filed under the name uncultured bacterium. Its description in RNAcentral is "partial 16S ribosomal RNA". It matches the Rfam family "Bacterial small subunit ribosomal RNA", at positions 524 to 776 of the family's 1533-position model. The record is from RNAcentral.